UACGUAGGCAGCGAGCGUUGUUCGGAAUUACUGGGCGUAAAGAGUGUGUAGGCGGUGCUCUAAGUUCGGUGUGAAAUCCCCGGGCUUAACCUGGGAAUGGCAUUUGGGGACUGCAAGGCUUGAGUGCGGCAGAGGGAGACUGGAAUUCCUGGUGUAGCAGUGAAAUGCGUAGAUAUCAGGAGGAACACCGAUGGCGAAGGCAGGUCUCUGGGCUGACACUGACGCUCAUGCACGAAAGCGUGGGGAGCAAACAGGAUAGAA
This 261-nucleotide ribosomal RNA is filed under the name uncultured bacterium. RNAcentral describes it as "partial 16S ribosomal RNA". It matches the Rfam family "Bacterial small subunit ribosomal RNA", at positions 524 to 782 of the family's 1533-position model. The record is from RNAcentral.